This is a long non-coding RNA of Sycon ciliatum, 296 nucleotides long. RefSeq lists it as uncharacterized. The record is from RefSeq and is a predicted model, not a curated record. NCBI's taxonomy places the organism in Eukaryota, Metazoa, Porifera, Calcarea, Leucosolenida, Sycettidae. The transcript is spliced from 4 exons.
GGUUUUCUUCGGGAAUAAACUUGUUCACCUACCAGCCGGGCUAUUCGACGCGACAACCGAAUUGAGAAGCCUGGAUUUGGCCUAUAAUCAACUUGUUCACCUACCUGACGGGCUGUUCAAAGCCACAACCAAAUUACAAAAACUGUUUUUGCAUUAUAAUAAUCUCCGCUAUCUUCCCAGUGGAGUGCCUCAAGACACACCUCACUUAAUUGAACUUUGGCUUUUGGAUGGAAUUUCAUUCAACCUUCGCUUGUGCGCUCUCAAGAUCCCUAAGGACUUUUCACAAGGCACCAUCU